RNAcentral lists this transfer RNA (73 nucleotides) under Urocitellus parryii (Arctic ground squirrel). RNAcentral's name for it is "Spermophilus parryii (Arctic ground squirrel) tRNA". It matches the Rfam family "tRNA". Rfam says of the family: Transfer RNA (tRNA) molecules are approximately 80 nucleotides in length. Their secondary structure includes four short double-helical elements and three loops (D, anti-codon, and T loops). Lineage: Eukaryota; Metazoa; Chordata; Mammalia; Rodentia; Sciuridae. The record is from Rfam by way of RNAcentral. RNAcentral also lists the same sequence under 2 other names.
GGGGGUAUAGCUCAGUUGGUAGAGUGCUUGCCUUGCAUGCAUAAGGCCCUGGGUUCAAUCCCCAGCAUCACAA